RNAcentral lists this ribosomal RNA (254 nucleotides) under uncultured bacterium. RNAcentral describes it as "partial 16S ribosomal RNA". It matches the Rfam family "Bacterial small subunit ribosomal RNA", at positions 793 to 1055 of the family's 1533-position model. The record is from RNAcentral.
GUCCACGCCGUAAACGAUGGAUACUAGCUGUUGGGAGCAAUCUCAGUGGCUAAGCGAAAGUGAUAAGUAUCCCACCUGGGGAGUACGUUCGCAAGAAUGAAACUCAAAGGAAUUGACGGGGCCCGCACAAGCGGUGGAGCAUGUUGUUUAAUUCGAUGAUACGCGAGGAACCUUACCAAGGCUUAAAUGUAGAUUGACUGGUUUGGAAACAGACUUUUCGCAAGACAAUUUACAAGGUGCUGCAUGGUUGUCGU